This 290-nucleotide signal recognition particle RNA is filed under the name Chlamydomonas reinhardtii. It matches the Rfam family "Plant signal recognition particle RNA". The record is from RNAcentral. Lineage: Eukaryota; Viridiplantae; Chlorophyta; Chlorophyceae; Chlamydomonadales; Chlamydomonadaceae.
GCGCCGGCUGGAGUCACGUCCAGUUGUCACCCAUGUGGGGGCCAAGCGGAUGAAGGAACAUAUGGCUCUCCGGUCGUGAACGCUUCCGUCGAUAGCGUGUCCUCUUCGAGUCCACAGUCGGCAAGGUCGCUGCCCUGAUGGGUGGCUGACCUGGUUGAUGAUUAGUCCCGCACCGCGUGAGGCAGGAAACUGAGCAGCGAAAAGGGACAGCUGCGGACGGCGAAAGGAUCGCAUGCUUGAGGAGGUGCCACGACCACCCGGGGGGUCCUCUGUGGGACCAACUACCGUUU